AGGUUGGUGCAAAAGUAAUUGCAGUUUUUGUCAUUACUUUCAAUAGGAAAACCUGCAAUUACUUUUGCACUAACCUAAUAU
Molecule: microRNA precursor, 81 nt
Filed under: Gorilla gorilla gorilla (western lowland gorilla)
Lineage: Eukaryota; Metazoa; Chordata; Mammalia; Primates; Hominidae
Description: miRNA (ENSGGOG00000044217.1)
Source: RNAcentral